CUUGAAGAUGAAAUGUAAAACUGCCUGUGAUCUGCGUAAGAAUCAACUAGGACCACUUUUAUGUACCCAGGGACAGUGGGAAUAGAAAGAGAAAAUCAAAAAGAGUAAUUAGAGUAGGUGGAAUGGGAAAUUGGCUGUGUGGGACAAAGGAUACUCAGACUAGGUAUGGCCUCAGAGCCUGGAGAAGGAAUUCUGUUUUCUCCCUGUAGCAUUUGAAAUAUCAGAGAACUAUCCUAGGAAAGCUAAAUGUACAGCCUAACUCCCUGGAGUCUUUAAAAUAAAAGUGGUAGCUAAGAAAAAAUGGGAGAAUCUAAGUUGGACCUAAAAGGGUACUAUGGGAGAAAAAGAAGAAAACCCUGGGGAACACCCACAUUUAGGGGAAGAGAAGAGCUGGAGGUCCAUCAGUGAUGGUGACGGCAACUAAAAAUAGAGUGGUGUUCUUAACAUAAC
This 450-nucleotide long non-coding RNA is filed under the name Marmota monax (woodchuck). The record is from RNAcentral. Lineage: Eukaryota; Metazoa; Chordata; Mammalia; Rodentia; Sciuridae.